This 253-nucleotide ribosomal RNA is filed under the name uncultured bacterium. Its description in RNAcentral is "partial 16S ribosomal RNA". It matches the Rfam family "Bacterial small subunit ribosomal RNA", at positions 524 to 776 of the family's 1533-position model. The record is from RNAcentral.
UACGUAGGGGGCAAGCGUUGUCCGGAUUUAUUGGGCGUAAAGAGCGUGUAGGCGGCCUGACAGGUCUGCUGUGAAAACUCGAGGCUCAACCUCGAGAUGUCGGCGGAAACCGUCUGGCUAGAGUCCGGAAGAGGAGAGUGGAAUUCCUGGUGUAGCGGUGAAAUGCGCAGAUAUCAGGAGGAACACCGGUGGCGAAGGCGGUUCUCUGGGCCUUACCUGACGCUGAGGAGCGAAAGCGUGGGGAGCGAACAGG